CUGGGGCUGAAGGGAAACCGUGUAACAACAGCCUUUGCUCCUCUGCUUGCUCUCACUUUCUCUUUCUCUCCGUCCCACUCCUGAGGCCGUGCUGGCCUAAGCAGCUAGGAAUUCAGAAAAAAAGCUCCUGCUUCCUGGCCUGCUUGAGUUCCAGUCCUGACUUCCUUUGGUGAUGAACAGCAACAUGGAAAUGGUAUCUCCCUUCCCAGGACCUAAUUACCACAGGAUCAAGGGGCUUUGCAGAGGACAGCUUGUCCCAAGAAGAAGCAACACUGAAGGGAGCAUCUGUCUCAUUUGAGGACAAAGAUGCAGGCCAAAGGUCAUGCUGAAGGGAGAAGCUGGCUGCAAAAUGGCCUAUGCCAGAACCUGACUAAGGACCUCUCCUCACGGAAGCAUCACCAACGAACAGCUGCCACCCAGUGUACCCCAUGAGGGUGUGCCCCACGUACACUCGCCUGACUCAGCAGCUCUAGGAAGCUGAAAUAAAGAGGAAACUUGAUUCUACCUGCAAACAGACCCCAGAUACUGAGAGAAGUCCCGGCUACUGUUAGCCCUAUGGUGUCUUUGUAGGAAUUCAAAAGCUGGCCCUCCUCUGGACCCACAUGGCAGUGUCAGGGCAUGUGGAUUUGGUGAACAGAAGAUAAGUCGGAUUCAGCCCCAUUUGUCUGCUCUGCUGCUCAAACACAGCUGUGGCUGGCUGGGAGCUCCCAUUUGUGGGCUGAGGAGAGGGCCUGGAAUGUACUCUUGGCAUCAAUGUUGCAAGUCUUGUGACUGUGUUAUCUAAUAUGGUAUAUACUAGCCACAGGUGACAUUUAAGUGUUCACAGAAAUCAAAUAAAAAUCAAACCCCUGUC
This is a non-coding RNA of Rattus norvegicus (Norway rat), 853 nucleotides long. NCBI's taxonomy places the organism in Eukaryota, Metazoa, Chordata, Mammalia, Rodentia, Muridae. The record is from RefSeq and is a predicted model, not a curated record.